This 811-nucleotide ribosomal RNA is filed under the name uncultured Acidobacteriota bacterium. RNAcentral describes it as "bacterial SSU rRNA". It matches the Rfam family "Bacterial small subunit ribosomal RNA", at positions 71 to 859 of the family's 1533-position model. The record is from RNAcentral. Lineage: Bacteria; Pseudomonadati; Acidobacteriota.
AAAGUGGAGCAAUCCAUGAGUAGAGUGGCAAACGGGUGAGUAACGCGUGGGUGACCUGCCUUCGAGCGGGGGAUAACGUUUCGAAAGGAACGCUAAUACCGCAUGACAUCCUGCCUUUGAAGAGGUGGAGAUCAAAGCUGGGGAUCGCAAGACCUAGCACUUGAAGAGGGGCCCGCGUCUGAUUAGCUAGUUGGUGAGGUAACGGCUCACCAAGGCGACGAUCAGUAUCCGGCCUGAGAGGGCGGACGGACACACUGGGACUGAGACACGGCCCAGACUCCUACGGGAGGCAGCAGUGGGGAAUUGUUCGCAAUGGGCGCAAGCCUGACGACGCAACGCCGCGUGGAGGAUGAAGACCUUCGGGUCGUAAACUCCUUUCGAUCGAGACGAAAGACUUCCGGGUGAACAAUCCGGGAGAGUGACGGUACCGAGAGAAGAAGCCCCGGCUAACUCCGUGCCAGCAGCCGCGGUAAUACGGGGGGGGCAAGCGUUGUUCGGAAUUACUGGGCGUAAAGGGCUCGUAGGCGGCCAACUAAGUCAGACGUGAAAUCCCUCGGCUUAACCGGGGAACUGCGUCUGAUACUGGAUGGCUUGAGGUUGGGAGAGGGAUGCGGAAUUCCAGGUGUAGCGGUGAAAUGCGUAGAUAUCUGGAGGAACACCGGUGGCGAAGGCGGCAUCCUGGACCAAUUCUGACGCUGAGUGAGCGAAAGCCAGGGGAGCAAACGGGAUUAGAUACCCCGGUAGUCCUGGCCCUAAACGAUGAAUGCUUGGUGUGGCGGGUAUCGAUCCCUGCCGUGCCGAAGCUAACGCA